RNAcentral lists this non-coding RNA (24 nucleotides) under Arabidopsis thaliana (thale cress). The record is from RNAcentral. Lineage: Eukaryota; Viridiplantae; Streptophyta; Magnoliopsida; Brassicales; Brassicaceae.
CAAAAUCUUGUGAGUGCAAAAUUG